UUGGAACACUCUCACUCUUGGGUCCACCCUCUCAGGAAACCAUCUCUGAGUGUAGCCACCAUGCUGUGAGGGUCACGAACUAGAAGGAGAGGCCACACUUGGCCACUCAGGUGGACACAUUCAGCUGAACUCAUAGCCAACAAUGAGCACCAACUACCAGUCCUGUGAGGGAGCCAUCUUGGACACCCAACCCCGCUGAACUCUCAGAUGACUGAGCUCCAGCCAAUGUCUGACUGCAGCUACCCGAGAGGCACCAUGAGAGACUGCUCACCUGAGCCCAGAAUUCCCCCGAAACUACAGCGGAUUACUUCAGAUUUUCUUGAGGGUUUUUCUGUGCACUCUCCAAUUACCCUUUGAGUACCAGCACUAGAGGAUGAAUCUGGCACUUCUGCUUUCUGAAAUAGCCCUAGUGCCUCAUGGAGAUGAAAUUCUCUGGCUUUCAGUUUCCAUUUGGUAAUAGCCCCAUGCACAUCAAGUCUGACAGGCCGUUUAUUGCUUGGCCCUGUGCACAAGAACGGUGGAUGAGGGAAACUCCACAGAAGAAUUCGGGAGCAAGAGCAGCCUGGCCUCAUUGGGAAAGGGCAGGAAGCGAGUGGAUGGAAGAACUUAUCCGAGCUGUGUGAUGAUCAUUGUUAAGCACCAGGAACCGAUGGAUACAAAAAUGAAUAGAACUUGGUUCCUUCAUCAAGAUCCUUGGAACUUUGGGAAAAAGACAAAAAUCAAAGUUUGUAAUGCCGUGUGGUCUUAAGACCUCCUUCUUAAGAUGCUCCAUGAUGGUGAUAUUGCUCUCCGGAUCUUUCUGCCACUUAUUUACCAGCGGUCAUUUGAAGAGUAUCUGGCCUUUGUGACAUGCCAGCCACAUUUAUGGCUCCUUCCUCUGAACACUUCCUUGUAAUGGACUGUGUAGUCUUUUUACUCUAGGUGGAGUCCUUCAAGUGUAAACUAUUCACCGAGAAGCAACUAGCAAGCUUUGUCUCCAUUUAUGGGUACAUGUACCCCGAAAGUUAGUUGUUCGCUAAGUAUCUCGGGUUACCAUUUGAUUUUAAUUCAAUUAAAGUCUUACCAUUCUA
This is a long non-coding RNA of Suricata suricatta (meerkat), 1070 nucleotides long. RefSeq lists it as uncharacterized. Lineage: Eukaryota; Metazoa; Chordata; Mammalia; Carnivora; Herpestidae. The record is from RefSeq and is a predicted model, not a curated record. The transcript has 5 exons.